Molecule: RNA transcript, 2086 nt
Organism: Solea solea (common sole)
Lineage: Eukaryota; Metazoa; Chordata; Actinopteri; Pleuronectiformes; Soleidae
Gene: srsf2a
Gene name: serine and arginine rich splicing factor 2a
Exons: 5
Source: RefSeq, a predicted model, not a curated record
GUGCGUAGUAAAUGAGAGCAGUCCUUCCGCCAAUCAGAGGAAGCCAACGCGGGCUCAAAGACAGAGGAAAAGGAAGCCUUGUUGCCGCCAUUUCACGUGAAAGCAGCGAGGCAGGAGAGAGAGAGACAGAUCCAGGGCUCGGCGAAUUCUGAGAUAAGCUUUUUAGACGGAUAAAAUGAGCUACGGAAGGCCGCCGCCUGACGUCGAGGGAAUGACCUCCCUCAAAGUGGACAACCUGACUUAUCGGACUUCACCGGAGACGCUGCGUCGAGUGUUCGAGAAGUAUGGCCGCGUGGGAGACGUGUACAUCCCCCGGGACCGCUACACCAAGGAGAGCCGAGGAUUUGCCUUUGUGCGGUUUCUCGACAAGCGUGACGCCGAGGAUGCAAUGGACGCAAUGGACGGCGCGCUUCUCGACGGGCGGGAGCUUCGGGUGCAGAUGGCCCGUUAUGGAAGACCACCAGAUUCUAUGUACGGACGGCGAGGUGCUCCGCCACGCCGAUAUGGCGGCCGCUCAGCCAGCCCCCGUCGCCGCAGGCGUAGCCGGAGCCGCUCCAGGAGCAGAAGCCAUUCCCGAUCCAGGAGCCGCCACCACUACAGCCGCUCCAGGUCCCGCUCUUAUUCCAGGUCCAGAUCCAAGUCCAAGUCUAAGUCCAAGUCCAGAACCCCCAGACGAAGCAAGACAAAGUCUCCCUCCAGGUCUCGCUCCCGCUCCAGAUCCAAGUCAAGGAGCAGAACCCCGCCUUCCAACAGAGGGUCAAAAUCCAAGUCCAGAUCCAGGUCCAGGUCCAAAUCCAAGAGUAGGCCUAAGUCACCAGAGGACAACGGAACCGAGCCUUAACCCACACAUGGACGCAGGAUGACGCUGCGGAGUCCUGUUUGCAAAGAGAGGAGGAGGAGAUGGGGGUGUGGCAGUGUGAGAGCAGUUAGUGUGUGACCCGCCCAUGUGACCUGCCUGUUGCUGAGAGCGAUGGCUGUUGCUAAGGAGCAGGUCACCAAGGCAACGGUGGUUGCUAUGGAGCAGGUCGUCAUGGCGGUGGUUCGGGCUGUCAGUUGGUGUAUGAGGUGGUGAGGUGAGAUCUCAGAUGACUGAGCCUUUGCCGAGGACAUCCGGAAGAAUCUCACAUUGAGCAAGUGGAUUCCAUUAUAAUGAAUGCAGACUGAAAGGUUAUUGGAGCUUGAUCUAAAUUGUUUUAAAUGUUACAUUUGACUUAAUUUGCUUUAAUUUUGAAACAUUGAUGUCAUUCUUUAUAAAGCUGAGCAUAUUGAAAGGGAUUUGUGAGGUGUCCCCCAUUAAAUUGUUUUUUUGUUUUUGUUUUUUUUUUAAUUGGUCUUGUUUUGAAUUUGUUCUUAAUAAAGUUUUCACACAGAAUAUUUCUUUUAAAUGAAACCCCUUGUUAAUUGAUUUUUCCAGAUUAUUUAGAAAAGGUCUUUUUGGAUGUUACAGCUGUGUAACACCACUCUGGGGAAAAUGGAUUGCUGUACAGUAACCUAAGCAAAAACUAAAAAGUAACGCAGUGCUACUUAAUAUUUGACUUGCUAAUCUGGCAUCUUAGUGUUUUCUACUCUGUCAAAUCUGUUUUCUGUCUGGUCAAGAGAAUUUUUCCUAUGACUCUAACCUUCUUUCUUGUGUAUCUUUUGUGCACUAGGCGCAGUUGUGUAGCAGUUGAGUAAUGCUGGUUAGCUGUUAAGAUGCGGUGCAGUGCGGUGGUGACAUGGUGUGGCGUGUUGCGGUGCUGAGUGCCCGGCACUGUUCCGGGGCUCGACCCUCCGCUGCUGUUUGGCGGUUUGUAAGCUCACAGGUGUGGCAGAUCAUCCAUCCUCUUGUCUUGUGACCUUCUUCCCUCCAUGUCCUAUUCAAAUUCUUCCUCUUCAUUCUCCCUCUUUUCCUUUCCCUCUGUGGUUUUUCCACUGAAAUCUGGCCUUGCUCGCAAUUGGAAUUUGAGUCCAAUGUGACUUGUAAUGAAGGGUUUUAGAGGCAGUUCAACUGCUUCAUGAAUAAAUUCUGUGUAUUGCAUUCCUCUGUAAACCUCUCAAAUGUCUUGUAAUUGCUUCAGGUAAAUGCUAAUAAAUAUGUUGUCGGAAA